CAAGCGGUGGAUGAUGUGGUUUAAUUCGAUGCAACGCGAAAACCUUACCCACCUUUGACAUGUACGGAAUCCUUUAGAGAUAGAGGAGUGCUCGAAAGAGAGCCGUAACACAGGUGCUGCAUGGCUGUCGUCAGCUCGUGUCGUGAGAUGUUGGGUUAAGUCCCGCAACGAGCGCAACCCUUGUCAUUAGUUGCUACAUUCAGUUGGGCACUCUAAUGAGACUGCCGGUGACAACCGGAGGAAGGUGGGGAUGACGUCAAGUCCUCAUGGCCCUUAUAGGUGGGCUACACACGUCAUACAAUGGAUGGUACAAAGGGUCGCCAACCCGCGAGGGGGAGCCAAUCCCAUAAAGCCAUUCGUAGUCCGGAUCGCAGUCUGCAACUCGACUGCGUGAAGUCGGAAUCGCUAGUAAUCGUGGAUCAGAAUGUCACGGUGAAUACGUUCCCGGGUCUU
This 453-nucleotide ribosomal RNA is filed under the name uncultured Acidovorax sp. RNAcentral's name for it is "bacterial SSU rRNA". It matches the Rfam family "Bacterial small subunit ribosomal RNA", at positions 926 to 1382 of the family's 1533-position model. Lineage: Bacteria; Pseudomonadati; Pseudomonadota; Betaproteobacteria; Burkholderiales; Comamonadaceae. The record is from RNAcentral.